CCGCACCGGCCAGACCCAGGUUUCACCCACGCCGCCUCUCCGCCACGGCUUUCGCCGCCGGCUGCUGCACGACCACCCCUCUCGCCGCCCUGCCCCUGCUCCUCGCUGCGCUGCUUCUCGUCGAAUCCCACUACCCCCGGAAGGAGCUACUCCGUCUGCCGCGGCUCGCCGAGGGGCUAUUCUCCUUCAGCGAUGCAAGCGCCGGAGGAGGAAGUCCACGACCCCUCGCCCGCGCCCUCGUUCGAGGCGGCGGAGGAGGAUGCCUUGGAGCAGGAGGACGCCGACGGGGAGGAGUACGACGAGGAGGACGAGGAGGAGGGGUACGAGUUCGACGACGCCGCCGACGCGGCGCAGUGCGUCGAGAUGGCGGAGCGGGGCCCGGCCGCCGGCGGCGCUGGGCCCACUGUCAACAUCCGGGACUUCGAGGCCCUGGCCGCCCUAUCCCGCAAGCGGGCCUUCCCCGACGACCACCCGCCCUGGGACUCCUCCUCCACCAAGAAAAGGAGGCAGCAGCAGGGCGAGCUCUCGGAGGAGGCCGAGUCCGCCGACCUCUUCGACCAGCUGAUGGAGGGGUUCGGCCUGCGGCGGAAGAAGCGGCGCAAAUCCAAGGACGGCAAGCGGCGGGGACGCACCAAAGGCAAACGCAACAAAUGCAGCCCGGAGGUCAUCAAGAAGCUCGGCGACGCCACGCUGCUCUUCACGGAGAACCGGUUCAGGGAGGCGAUCCCCAUCCUCCACGAGAUCGUGCGGAUCGCGCCCAACCUGCCCAACGCGUACAACCUGCUCGGCAGCAUCUACAGGGAGACCGGCGAGACGCACAAGGCCAUCAACUUCGUGUGGGUGGCCGCCAACGUCGCCCCCAAGGACGCCGCGCUCUGGAGGAAGCUCGUCGACCUGGCCCUGAAAGUCGAGGACGCCGCGCUGGCCAGGCACUGCGUCAUCAAGGCCAUGAGGGCGGAUCCGGAGGACGUCGGGCUCAAGUACGACUGCGCCAACAUAUACCGCACCCUGCGCGACUACCACAAGGCUGCCGAGGUGUACGAGCAGAUUGUCAGGAUUUACCCUUCCAACGCCGUCGCGCGGAGGACGGCGGCGCAGAUGUACAGGGACUCUGGUCAGAUCGACAAGGCGAUUGAUCUGUUGGAGGAGUUUGUCAACGCGCAGACUACAAAUGUCGACUGGAGUCUGCUAGAUUUACUGGUAUCCCUCUAUCUUAGAAAUAAUAACCAUGGUGAAGCACUGAGGCAGAUCAACAGGGCACACCUGGUGCUGGGAUCUCAACACAAGUUACCAGUACGACUGCAGGCGAAAGCGGUGAUCUGCCAGGCUUAUGUUGGAAAUAUGGAGCCUGCUGAGGUGUUCCUUCAGGAUGUGCAGUUGGAGCGUUCGAAGGAGAACGCUGAUUUGGUUGCUGAGGUCGCUAGCACUCUUGAAAAUUUGGGCAAGUAUGAUUAUGCGAUGAGGUUCUACUCGAUGGUUGAAGACGUUGCUGUUGAUCAUGAUGGUAGCUCAUAUGUGAAAGUUGCUCGAUGCUACAUUGUCAUGGGGGAGAAAACAAAGGCUAUUGCAUACCUCUAUAAAGCUUUAGAUAAGAUGAAGGACAGUGUCGAUGUGCGGAUAACAUUGUCUUCUCUUCUUGCUGAUGAGGAUAGGAGUGAUGAUGCUAUCAGUGUGCUUUCUCCGCCUGAAAAUCCGGAGUUGCAGUCUGCUAGUAUCCCGAACAAACAGAAACCUUGGUGGCUGGACGGGGAAGUGAAGAUGCAGCUUGCCAAGCUUUAUUAUAGCAAAGGCAAGAUGCAGGAAUUUGUGGAUACCAUUUUUCUUCCCAUUCUUGAGACGCUGGAUAUCGAGAAUGCUAAUCGAAAGGUCAAGGUUACAAAAAAGCUCACAAAUGAUGUUCUGCAGGAAAGAACUAAAGUGCUGGGCGAGGUACGUCCAGACAGUGUAUUUCAAGGAUGCAGGCCAAUAGCUUCACCUGCAGAGUUACUGAAAGCAAACAGAGCAAAGAAAUUGCUAGAAAAAAGGGCAGCUUCAAAUGAUGGAGAUAUGGUAAAGCAUGAUAAGCGGAGAGCAAAGCAAAUACCUCCUCUUCCUGGUCUGCUCACCAAUAUGGAGAACCAUCAGCUUGUCUUAGAUCUAUGUCGAACAUUGACUUUGCUGCAGCAAUACUUUGAGGCGCUGCAAAUUAUCAAUCAUGCUCUUAAAUUUGGAAAUGAUCCGUUCUCUGAUGACAACAAAGAGGAACUCCGGUCCCUGGGUGCUGAAAUAGCAUAUAGAGCUCCAGAUCCCAGGCCUGGUUUUGAUUAUGUCCGCUAUUUAGUUCAGAAGCACCCGCAUUCCGUCUCUGCAUGGAACUUCUACUACAAAGUGACCUCAAGAGAUGAGAAACGUCAGAGUAAGUUUCUUCUUCGGGCAAGAAGGUAUCCCAACUGUGUGCCUCCUAAAAUUAUAUCUGGGAAUCAAUUUACUGAAAUCAAACAACAUCAGUCCGCUACUCGGGAUUAUCUGGAGGCAUACAAGCUGGACCCGGAAAAUCCUUUUAUCAAUCUCUGUGUUGGUUCGUCCUUGGUCAACCUAUCCCUUGGCUUCAGACUUCAGAACAAGAAUCAGUGCAUCGUCCAAGCGUUUGCCUUCCUCUACCAGUGCCUUCGCAUUGGCAGCAACAGACAGGAGGCCCUGUACAACAUUGCGCGUGCGUACCACCACGUUGGCCUCAAAACCUUGGCGGUCAUCUACUACGAGAAGGUUUUAGCCAUGGAGGUGAAAGAUGAACCCAUACCCAAGCGUCCAUUCGAGGAGGAUGCACAACAGCAGCAGGAUCUCAGGCCUGGCUACUGCGACCUCCGAAGAGAGGCCGCCUUCAAUUUGCAUCUGAUCUACAAGGAAAGCGGAGCAACUGAUCUGGCUAGGAGGAUUCUCAAGACCUACUGUUCUUUUUAGGAAUCUACUUGCUACGGAUCAUUGCAAUUUUGUUAGCGGGAUCGUAACGGCAAUUGAAUGUGUAAUUUAAUAGUGGAGCCCAAAAGAGAACUAUACUUCCGCCCUUAUCCUAUAUCAUCUUCAUGAUUAUGAAACUGGCCUGUCUGCUUUGGAGCCAUUGUACCAAAAUAUUGAAUCGAUUGAUGAC
Non-coding RNA from Lolium perenne, 3127 nucleotides. Lineage: Eukaryota; Viridiplantae; Streptophyta; Magnoliopsida; Poales; Poaceae. The record is from RefSeq and is a predicted model, not a curated record.